UCCUUUAAAAAGUCAGGGCUCACCAUAU
RNAcentral lists this non-coding RNA (28 nucleotides) under Mus musculus (house mouse). Lineage: Eukaryota; Metazoa; Chordata; Mammalia; Rodentia; Muridae. The record is from RNAcentral.